CUUUCACAUAUGUUUCCCUUUAGAUAAUAUAAGUAUAACAUUCAAAAGAAAAAAUUGGAAAUUAUAACGCCAAAAGCUCCGUAUCACCGUCGAUCUCAGCACUACUGUCAAAAAAUUGUCAAGCUAAGAUCGCCGUGGGCAGACUGAGACAAUUCUUAGGCACUUGCGAAUCGAACUCGCUCAUGCCAUUCCCAACUCCAUUUCUUUUUCAGAACCUCCUCUUUUUCCCGGUACUCGAUUUCUGGGUACCCUUAUUUGAGCUUUUCUUGGUACUAGUAAGGCACAUGUGUUUCGUUUCAUAGAGCUUGAAACUGAGUCAUGAGCUUCGCCUAUACGACAUUGCCUUUUUCGUUGAGUUUUGGUUGAUAGACCUGUAUUUUGUUCCGGUCGUUGUGGAUAAAAAGGAGAAGAUGAAGGGAGAACCGGCGUGUGAGAGCAGAGGCGGUUCAAGCUACUUUUUGUGAUUUCGUUUGUUUCAACGGCUGGUUUGUUGUCGUUGGUGGUUGUCACUGGUUGGUGGUUGCUUGGCUCCUGUUUCGUCUAUGUCAAUUCUCGCAGUUUGUUAAUUGUCAGAUUAUGUCCUUUUAUUUAUUUUGUUUCUGGGGAUUUAGUCCGCCGGCUUAUGUAAUUUGUUUUGUUUUCUUUUGUUUGGGCUCUUGAUUCCGGAUGGAAGUAGGUCCUUGCCGGCUUGUGUACUGUUUGUAAUUUUGACUCUUUCAUUUAAUCAAAUACUAGAUUUUACUCUGUGCAUUCGCAUGGAAAUUUA
Molecule: long non-coding RNA, 766 nt
Organism: Eutrema salsugineum
Lineage: Eukaryota; Viridiplantae; Streptophyta; Magnoliopsida; Brassicales; Brassicaceae
Exons: 3
Source: RefSeq, a predicted model, not a curated record